GGUAGCGCGGCCGAGUGGUCUAUGGCGCUGGUUUUAGGUGCCAGUUAUUUCGAUGACGUGGGUUCGAAUCCCUCCUCUGCCA
Molecule: transfer RNA, 82 nt
Filed under: Paramuricea clavata
Lineage: Eukaryota; Metazoa; Cnidaria; Anthozoa; Malacalcyonacea; Plexauridae
Rfam family: tRNA
About the family: Transfer RNA (tRNA) molecules are approximately 80 nucleotides in length.
Source: Rfam by way of RNAcentral